UGUAAGUUGGAGGUGAAAUCCUAUCGGCUCAACCGUAGAACUGCCCCCAAUACUGCAAGGCUUGAGGAAGACAGGGGCGAGCGGAACCAUCAGUGGAGCGGUGAAAUGUGUUGAUAUUGGUGGGAACGCCGGUGGCGAAAGCGGCUCGCUGGUUCUUUUCUGACGCUGAGGUGCGAAAGCUAGGGGAGCGAACGGGAUUAGAUACCCCGGUAGUCCUAGCUGUAAACGAUGGGUACUGGGUAGAAAGACCGCCGAUGGUCCUUCUGCCGGAGCGAAAGCGUUAAGUACCCCGCCUGGGGAGUAUGGUCGCAAGGCUGAAACUCAAAGGAAUUGACGGGGGCUCACACCAGCGGUGGAGCAUUGUGGCUUAAUUCGAGGCUACGCGAAGAACCUUAUCCUGGAUUGGACAUGCUUGAGAACCCCGCGGAAACGUGGGGGUGCCUUCGGGAGCUCUUGCACAGGUGCUGCAUGGCUGUCGUCAGCUCGUGUUGUGAGAUGUCGGGUUAAGUCCCUUAACGAGCGAAACCCUUAUCGUUAGUUACCAGCGGUUCGGCCGGGGACUCUAGCGAGACUGCCGGUGUUAAGCCGGAGGAAGGUGGGGAUGACGUCAAGUCCUCAUGGCCUUUAUGUCCAGGGCUGCACACGUGCUACAAUGGGGUGUACAAAGGGCCGCAAUGCCGCGAGGCGGAGCUAAUCCCAGAAAACACCCCCCAGUUCGGAUUGCAGGCUGCAACUCGCCU
RNAcentral lists this ribosomal RNA (740 nucleotides) under uncultured Planctomycetota bacterium. Its description in RNAcentral is "bacterial SSU rRNA". It matches the Rfam family "Bacterial small subunit ribosomal RNA", at positions 582 to 1317 of the family's 1533-position model. The record is from RNAcentral. Lineage: Bacteria; Pseudomonadati; Planctomycetota.